UGAGGAAUAUUGGUCAAUGGGCGUAAGCCUGAACCAGCCAAGUCGCGUGAGGGAAGACGGCCCUAUGGGUUGUAAACCUCUUUUGUCGGGGAGCAAAGCCGCCCACGUGUGGGCGGAAGCAGAGUACCCGAAGAAAAAGCAUCGGCUAACUCCGUGCCAGCAGCCGCGGUAAUACGGAGGAUGCGAGCGUUAUCCGGAUUUAUUGGGUUUAAAGGGUGCGUAGGCGGCAUGGUAAGUCAGCGGUCAAAUCGAGGGGCUCAACCCCUUUCCGCCGUUGAAACUGCCGUGCUUGAGUGGGCGAGAAGUAUGCGGAAUGCGUGGUGUAGCGGUGAAAUGCAUAGAUAUCACGCAGAACUCCGAUUGCGAAGGCAGCAUACCGGCGCCCGACUGACGCUGAGGCACGAAAGCGUGGGGAUCGAACAGGAUUAGAUACC
This 434-nucleotide ribosomal RNA is filed under the name uncultured bacterium. RNAcentral's name for it is "bacterial SSU rRNA". It matches the Rfam family "Bacterial small subunit ribosomal RNA", at positions 355 to 786 of the family's 1533-position model. The record is from RNAcentral.